Molecule: long non-coding RNA, 899 nt
Filed under: Setaria italica (foxtail millet)
Lineage: Eukaryota; Viridiplantae; Streptophyta; Magnoliopsida; Poales; Poaceae
Description: long non-coding RNA (SITA_LNC001430)
Source: RNAcentral
CACAUCAGGAAGACGCACGCAUGGUGAGGCUCCUUUUUAUUCCAACAUAAUUUUACACCGAUCCAUACCGCCCCAAAUCUAUGCAGCCUGCAUGUCUUCAUCUACAAUGCAUUCUCCGAGAUAAACCUUGACGCUCCGAGGUGAACCACAGCUGCCUUCUGCUAUAAUCGCUCUGUCGUUCGCAGCCAUGUGCUGUAUUAUUUUGUAGAUCAUCUCAAUCUGAGCGAGCAAGUGUACAGCAUGUGUUAGUUCAAAGAGCAACUGGUUUAUGCUGAUGAAAAUCUGUGAAACUUACAUCUUCAGGGCAAUGACAGCGAUCUGCGAUUUCAUCUAGGGUCAAUGGCUCAGCAGGGUCCUUGCAGCUGGGAGACAACAAAUACAUAAAUCAGGAGGAAUCCAGACAUUCAGGAAUCAAUCAAUUGGGGGAGUAAAAUGCAGAUAUUUGUAAACAAACUUAAGUGAUGUCCUUUAAUGUGCAAAUUUUGUCCUUGCUUGUGCUGAUGAAAGUUGAGUUCAUGUGCAUUGGAAAUUGGGAACAAAGAAAAAUGUUUCAUGAGUAAGGAAAUGUUGAGUUAUAUUGAAAUACAAGACACAUGUUUCUAUUUGUUAGAAUAUUGAUUGUUUUCUACUCAAGGAUGUGUGACUGCUAAAAAAGCAGGCGUCUAUCUGCAGUUUUGCAGCCCCAAGAGGACUAUUAAUAAGCCAACAAAAUAUUCUUUUUUCAAAUAUAUACCAUGCCAAACUUCUAAAAGGCUUUCAAUGGAAAUCUCUAGGAGAAAGGGGCAUUAUCACAACUGUGAGGUGGGGUGCACUUCUAGUGAUCCAAGUAAAGCAUCAUAACUAGUAAUAUGACCAAAAAAUACUACACACAACCAAUCACUUCAUAGAGAAACAAUAAC